Molecule: non-coding RNA, 769 nt
Organism: Paramuricea clavata
Lineage: Eukaryota; Metazoa; Cnidaria; Anthozoa; Malacalcyonacea; Plexauridae
Source: the annotation of a GenBank genome assembly
CUUUUUAAUCGUACAUACAAUGUUUCUACACUUGUACGGUAUUUUAUAUAAAAUGGGGGUGGGGUUCACUAACGUUUUUGGUCUUUUCUUGAGAGGGGGGGGGGGGGUCAGGCGAGUUUUGCUGUUGCCGGAAGGGGGUCAUACAGAUAUGCCUCCCCCCCAAAAAAAAACCAACAUAAAUAUUGAACACUCCCUGAAAAUGCAAUUUGCAGCGGCGCCAGAUUGUUUUGGUCGUGUUUCCACAUUUAGUAUGCAUGACGUCAUAACGUUCAAUAUGAUUUUUCAUAUUCAGCGUUAUUGCGUCACUCCGUUGAAUAUCAUUUUUUCAUAUGCAACGUUCUGGUGUCACUCCAUUGAAUAUAUUAUGUAAAAACUCCAUAUUUCAUCGGCUAUUGCGUACAUAUGGAACAUUUCACGUUGGCUGUUAGUCAAUCAGAAACCAUGAAUUUUUUAAAUAAAUAAUAAAAUUCACUCCACCAAUAGACCUUUCCCCUUAUAACCAAAAUUUUGAUCUAGGCAAGUCUAGACAAAUAUUUCAUCACAGCUUGAAAGAGCGUCACAAAAUUAGUAAUAUUCCAAAGUUUCGUUGCGAAAUGUUGUAAAAUGCGGAUAAUAUAGCCUUGCGAAAUUUGCUAUUUUCAGUCAUUUUAGAUUACAAACGGGAAAUUGCAGCCCCAACACCCGAAUCGUAUGUCAAUUUCCCGUUUGUAAUACAAAAUGACUGAAAAACGGCAAACUUCGCAAGGCUAUAUUAUCUGCAUUUUGCAAG